Molecule: ribosomal RNA, 482 nt
Filed under: uncultured bacterium
Lineage: Bacteria
Description: partial 16S ribosomal RNA
Rfam family: Bacterial small subunit ribosomal RNA
Source: RNAcentral
AUUGAACGCUGGCGGCAUGCUUUACACACGCAAGUCGAACGGUAACAGGCCGCAAGGUGCUGACGAGUGGCGAACGGGUGAGUAAUGCAUCGGAACGUGCCCGGUCGUGGGGGAUAACUACUCGAAAGAGUAGCUAAUACCGCAUACGAUCUAUGGAUGAAAGCGGGGGACCGUAAGGCCUCGCGCGAUUGGAGCGGCCGAUGUCAGAUUAGGUAGUUGGUGGGGUAAAGGCUCACCAAGCCAACGAUCUGUAGCUGGUCUGAGAGGACGACCAGCCACACUGGGACUGAGACACGGCCCAGACUCCUACGGGAGGCAGCAGUGGGGAAUUUUGGACAAUGGGCGCAAGCCUGAUCCAGCAAUGCCGCGUGCAGGAAGAAGGCCUUCGGGUUGUAAACUGCUUUUGUACGGAACGAAACGGCUCUGGUUAAUACCCGGGGCUAAUGACGGUACCGUAAGAAUAAGCACCGGCUAACUACGUG